GAUGAACGCUGGCGGCGUGCCUAAUACAUGCAAGUAGAACGCUGAAGCUUGGUGCUUGCACCGAGCGGAAGAGUUGCGAACGGGUGAGUAACGCGUAGGUAACCUGCCUCUUAGCGGGGGAUAACUAUUGGAAACGAUAGCUAAUACCGCAUAAAAGUCGGCAUUGCAUGAUGUUGACUUGAAAGGUGCAACUGCAUCACUAAGAGAUGGACCUGCGUUGUAUUAGCUAGUUGGUGAGGUAACGGCUCACCAAGGCGACGAUACAUAGCCGACCUGAGAGGGUGACCGGCCACACUGGGACUGAGACACGGCCCAGACUCCUACGGGAGGCAGCAGUAGGGAAUCUUCGGCAAUGGACGGAAGUCUGACCGAGCAACGCCGCGUGAGUGAAGAAGGUUUUCGGAUCGUAAAGCUCUGUUGUAAGAGAAGAACGAGUGUGAGAGUGGAAAGUUCACACUGUGACGGUAACUUACCAGAAAGGGACGGCUAACUACGUGCCAGCAGCCGCGGUAAUACGUAGGUCCCGAGCGUUAUCCGGAUUUAUUGGGCGUAAAGCGAGCGCAGGCGGUUAGAUAAGUCUGAAGUUAAAGGCUGUGGCUUAACCAUAGUACGCUUUGGAAACUGUUUAACUUGAGUGCAGAAGGGGAAAGUGGAAUUCCAUGUGUAGCGGUGAAAUGCGUAGAUAUAUGGAGGAACACCGGUGGCGAAAGCGGCUCUCUGGUCUGUAACUGACGCUGAGGCUCGAAAGCGUGGGGAGCAAACAGG
This 765-nucleotide ribosomal RNA is filed under the name uncultured Streptococcus sp. Its description in RNAcentral is "bacterial SSU rRNA". It matches the Rfam family "Bacterial small subunit ribosomal RNA", at positions 28 to 776 of the family's 1533-position model. The record is from RNAcentral. Lineage: Bacteria; Bacillati; Bacillota; Bacilli; Lactobacillales; Streptococcaceae.